GAUGAACGCUGGCGGCGUGCCUAAUACAUGCAAGUCGAGCGAACGGACGAGAAGCUUGCUUCUCUGAUGUUAGCGGCGGACGGGUGAGUAACACGUGGAUAACCUACCUAUAAGACUGGGAUAACUUCGGGAAACCGUAGCUAAUACCGGAUAAUAUUUUGAACCGCAUGGUUCAAAAGUGAAAGACGGUCUUGCCGUCACUUAUAGAUGGAUCCGCGCUGCAUUAGCUAGUUGGUAAGGUAACGGCUUACCAAGGCAACGAUGCAUAGCCGACCUGAGGGGGUGAUCGGCCACACUGGAACUGAGACACGGUCCAGACUCCUACGGGAGGCAGCAGUAGGGAAUCUUCCGCAAUGGGCGAAAGCCUGACGGAGCAACGCCGCGUGAGUGAUGAAGGUCUUCGGAUCGUAAAACUCUGUUAUUAGGGAAGAACAUAUGUGUAAGUAACUGUGCACAUCUUGACGGUACCUAAUCAGAAAGCCACGGCUAACUACGUG
This 497-nucleotide ribosomal RNA is filed under the name uncultured bacterium. RNAcentral describes it as "partial 16S ribosomal RNA". It matches the Rfam family "Bacterial small subunit ribosomal RNA", at positions 28 to 507 of the family's 1533-position model. The record is from RNAcentral.